Molecule: transfer RNA, 73 nt
Filed under: Bos taurus (domestic cattle)
Lineage: Eukaryota; Metazoa; Chordata; Mammalia; Artiodactyla; Bovidae
Also listed under: 4 other names
Rfam family: tRNA
About the family: Transfer RNA (tRNA) molecules are approximately 80 nucleotides in length. Their secondary structure includes four short double-helical elements and three loops (D, anti-codon, and T loops).
Source: Rfam by way of RNAcentral
UCCCCGGUGGUCCAAUGGUUAGGACUCCACACUUCCACUGUGGGGGACAUGGGUUCGAUACCUGGUUGGGGAA